This 720-nucleotide ribosomal RNA is filed under the name Triticum aestivum (bread wheat). RNAcentral describes it as "partial small subunit ribosomal RNA". Lineage: Eukaryota; Viridiplantae; Streptophyta; Magnoliopsida; Poales; Poaceae. The record is from RNAcentral.
AUGCGACCUGUGACCCUAUGCUCAACAUUGGAUUCACAAAACCAUGAGUUCAAAGCACUAAUCUUCGAGGUCAUGGUUAAUGGAAGCCUGGAGGCAUGGUUGCAUUCUGAGCAGCACAAUGGAAUUCUAGACAAAGUGCUAAGCUUUGGCCAGAGGAUAUGCAUAGCAGCAGAUGUGGCUUCUGCUCUUGAUUAUGCCCACAAUGAACUGACGCCUCCUUUGAUCCAUUGUGAUUUGAAGCCAAACAAUGUCCUUUUGGAUGAUGACAUGACUGCGCGGCUCAGUGACUUUGGCUCAGCAAAGUUUCUAUCACGAGGUCUAGUAAUUCCUAAAAGCCUUCAUGAUGUUGGAGGGACAAUUGGAUACGUGGCACCUGAGUACAGAAUGGGCUGCGAGAUCUCCGUAGGCGGUGAUGUGUAUAGUUUCGGAGUGCUUCUACUGGAAUUGCUUACUGGAAAACGACCUACUGAUGAUAUGUUUGUGGAUGGACUUAGCCUUUGUAAGUUCUAUGAAUCUAAGUUCCGAGACAGAGUUGCAGAGAUUCUUGAUCCUCAUAUGGCGCAUGAGGAGCAUCAAGGGUGCGCAGAAGGAUGGAUACAGAGAUAUAUUGUCCCCUUGGUUGCCCUUGGGCUGUCAUGUACGGUGGAAUCUCCGAAGGAUAGGCCCGGAAUGAAAGAUGUUUGUGCCAAACUUUCUGAUAUUAGAGCCUCUUUUCUUUAG